GACAAACGCUGGCGGCGUGCUUAACACAUGCAAGUCGAACGGAAAGGCCCUGCUUUUGUUGGUUGCUCGAGUGGCGAACGGGUGAGUAACACGUGAGUAACCUGCCCUUGACUUUGGGAUAACUUCAGGAAACUGGGGCUAAUACCGGAUAGGAUCUCCUGCUGCAUGGUGGGGGUUGGAAAAUUUCGGCGGUUGGGGAUGGACUCGCGGCUUAUCAGCUUGUUGGUGGGGUAGUGGCUUACCAAGGCUUUGACGGGUAGCCGGCCUGAGAGGGUGACCGGCCACAUUGGGACUGAGGUACGGCCCAGACUGCUACGGGAGGCAGCAGUGGGGAAUAUUGCACAAUGGGCGGAAGCCUGAUGCAGCAACGCCGCGUGCGGGAUGACGGCCUUCGGGUUGUAAACCGCUUUCGCCUGUGACGAAGCGUGAGUGACGGUAAUGGGUAAAGAAGCACCGGCUAACUACGUG
RNAcentral lists this ribosomal RNA (468 nucleotides) under uncultured bacterium. Its description in RNAcentral is "partial 16S ribosomal RNA". It matches the Rfam family "Bacterial small subunit ribosomal RNA", at positions 28 to 507 of the family's 1533-position model. The record is from RNAcentral.